UUGCUGAGAAACUGACUUGGUUCCUUAAGGAAUUAAGCGAAGGAGCGGCUGCCUUGGGUGUAUCAAGGCGAAAAAGCUUCUAGACCAGAGCAAAACCUGGCAGUACGGAAGCCAGAGGCAAGGCGCUCGUAGGAGGAGGGGUGCUUCUGACACAUCCACCAAGGGGAGAGGGCGAGAGAGAGUAUGGAGCCAGCCUCGGGCGCUAACUAGCAGCUGCACCGAACAGUCGCCCCACAGGGAGCGAGCGCUUUGCCUCCCUGCCAGGGGGAAAGAUACCAACAGCAGCCAAAGCUUUCAUCAAGGGAGAGUCAAAGCCGGGAAGCAGAGAAGCGAAUCCAGCCUUCCAACAAGCGCACAUGUUCUGGGCAACCAGCCAGCGGGUCCAAGUGCUCGACUGGAGCUCUGCCGGGUGAUUCAUUGGCUGUAAUCGUGUGGGUGAGGCCACAACUCUUUUUACACGAAAUCACCAGGAUGAAUGAAAGGGUGGCUGCUCGGCACUGAGGCUUAGGGGGAGGUCCGCGGAAGUCCUGAAAUGCUCUUUAGGAAGACACACCAACGGAUUGUGUCACGUAGACCACAGCUUGGGUAUGCGGUCGGUUCGUCAUCUUGUUACACCAGCUUUUUACACCGGAGAUGGCGGACUCGGCAUGGCUCCCCCCAGAUGUCGCUGAUCUGCAGCUCCCUCGCUGCCUUUCAGCCAUGCUGCUGUCGACUUUGCCGGCUAGGAAAGAAUAUGCUGAGGAAGAAUGGAUGAAGCUCCUGUCAACCCAAGCUGUGAGGAUCUGUGGAGGCAAGUAUCUCACAUUUCUCUUAGGCACAAUUUCCUCUCAGGGUGCCAGCAUUCUCAACUGCCUUUGCCGUGAGCAGUCAUGAAACCACCACCCUGGUGUCCAGCAAGUUCCCAGAUGGGUAUAAAAUGCCCGAGGAUCACUGGGAUCCUUUUCAACUUCACAGUUUUCCACCAGGCACUUUCCCUCCAUUUACUUCUACUGUCUGGAGCAUGAGCUUGAGUUGACGUGCAUGCAGCCCAAUUCUAUACUUAGAUUCCCAGUAAAUUUCAAAGGUGGCAGCUUUACAGCGUGACUUAAAAAAGGAAAACAAAAACUGUUGGAGUCAGCAUUAAUGUGCUAGAGCUUGUUGUUGUUGUCUCAUCAUUAAUUCGUGUCCGACUCUUCGUGACCCCAUGGACCAGAGCACACCAGGCCCUCCUGUCUUCCACUGCCUCCUGGAUUUGGGUCAAAUUCAUGUUGGUAGCUUCGGUGACACUGUCCAUCCACCUCCUCCUCUGUCCAUCUUGCCCCUUCACAGAUUGCUGCCUUAUUGUGGUGAAGGGGCUUGAGUAAUUCAGAGAAGCUACGGGCUGUGCCAUGCAGGACCACCCAAGACGGACAGGUCAUAGUGGAGAGUUCUGACUAAACGCGAUCCACCUGGAGCAGGAACUGGCAAGCCACUCCAGUAUCUUUACCAAGAAUGCCCCAUGAACAGAAACAAAAGACUAAAAGAUAUGUGCCAGAGCACUUAAAUAAAAAAGAAAAGAAAAGAAAGGAAAGGAAAGGA
Molecule: long non-coding RNA, 1557 nt
Filed under: Pogona vitticeps (central bearded dragon)
Lineage: Eukaryota; Metazoa; Chordata; Lepidosauria; Squamata; Agamidae
Description: lncRNA (ENSPVIG00000008515.1)
Source: RNAcentral